This 1539-nucleotide ribosomal RNA is filed under the name Klebsiella pneumoniae. RNAcentral describes it as "bacterial SSU rRNA". It matches the Rfam family "Bacterial small subunit ribosomal RNA". The record is from RNAcentral. RNAcentral also lists the same sequence under 1 other name. Lineage: Bacteria; Pseudomonadati; Pseudomonadota; Gammaproteobacteria; Enterobacterales; Enterobacteriaceae.
AAAUUGAAGAGUUUGAUCAUGGCUCAGAUUGAACGCUGGCGGCAGGCCUAACACAUGCAAGUCGAGCGGUAGCACAGAGAGCUUGCUCUCGGGUGACGAGCGGCGGACGGGUGAGUAAUGUCUGGGAAACUGCCUGAUGGAGGGGGAUAACUACUGGAAACGGUAGCUAAUACCGCAUAACGUCGCAAGACCAAAGUGGGGGACCUUCGGGCCUCAUGCCAUCAGAUGUGCCCAGAUGGGAUUAGCUAGUAGGUGGGGUAACGGCUCACCUAGGCGACGAUCCCUAGCUGGUCUGAGAGGAUGACCAGCCACACUGGAACUGAGACACGGUCCAGACUCCUACGGGAGGCAGCAGUGGGGAAUAUUGCACAAUGGGCGCAAGCCUGAUGCAGCCAUGCCGCGUGUGUGAAGAAGGCCUUCGGGUUGUAAAGCACUUUCAGCGGGGAGGAAGGCGGUGAGGUUAAUAACCUCACCGAUUGACGUUACCCGCAGAAGAAGCACCGGCUAACUCCGUGCCAGCAGCCGCGGUAAUACGGAGGGUGCAAGCGUUAAUCGGAAUUACUGGGCGUAAAGCGCACGCAGGCGGUCUGUCAAGUCGGAUGUGAAAUCCCCGGGCUCAACCUGGGAACUGCAUUCGAAACUGGCAGGCUAGAGUCUUGUAGAGGGGGUAGAAUUCCAGGUGUAGCGGUGAAAUGCGUAGAGAUCUGGAGGAAUACCGGUGGCGAAGGCGGCCCCCUGGACAAAGACUGACGCUCAGGUGCGAAAGCGUGGGGAGCAAACAGGAUUAGAUACCCUGGUAGUCCACGCCGUAAACGAUGUCGAUUUGGAGGUUGUGCCCUUGAGGCGUGGCUUCCGGAGCUAACGCGUUAAAUCGACCGCCUGGGGAGUACGGCCGCAAGGUUAAAACUCAAAUGAAUUGACGGGGGCCCGCACAAGCGGUGGAGCAUGUGGUUUAAUUCGAUGCAACGCGAAGAACCUUACCUGGUCUUGACAUCCACAGAACUUUCCAGAGAUGGAUUGGUGCCUUCGGGAACUGUGAGACAGGUGCUGCAUGGCUGUCGUCAGCUCGUGUUGUGAAAUGUUGGGUUAAGUCCCGCAACGAGCGCAACCCUUAUCCUUUGUUGCCAGCGGUCCGGCCGGGAACUCAAAGGAGACUGCCAGUGAUAAACUGGAGGAAGGUGGGGAUGACGUCAAGUCAUCAUGGCCCUUACGACCAGGGCUACACACGUGCUACAAUGGCAUAUACAAAGAGAAGCGACCUCGCGAGAGCAAGCGGACCUCAUAAAGUAUGUCGUAGUCCGGAUUGGAGUCUGCAACUCGACUCCAUGAAGUCGGAAUCGCUAGUAAUCGUAGAUCAGAAUGCUACGGUGAAUACGUUCCCGGGCCUUGUACACACCGCCCGUCACACCAUGGGAGUGGGUUGCAAAAGAAGUAGGUAGCUUAACCUUCGGGAGGGCGCUUACCACUUUGUGAUUCAUGACUGGGGUGAAGUCGUAACAAGGUAACCGUAGGGGAACCUGCGGUUGGAUCACCUCCUUA